Molecule: long non-coding RNA, 560 nt
Filed under: Pongo abelii (Sumatran orangutan)
Lineage: Eukaryota; Metazoa; Chordata; Mammalia; Primates; Hominidae
Description: lincRNA
Source: RNAcentral
AACAUUCCUUCAGCAGAGCCACAUGUUGUCUUCAAUUGCUGUCUUCAAAUCAUUGAAUACUUGAAGGUUUGCUGGCCAAUGCAGGACUGAUUAUAAGUAAUGAUGACGCAUCUGUAACUUCUAAAUGGGAAGGUCUUUGAGUGGGAUUGAAUAGAGAAAGUGAUGAAAAAAUAAUUGUGGUAAUACAUACUGUUCCAGGUUUUAAACACAUACAGAGGGAAAAUGAGGUGAAGACACAAGGAAAAGACAACCACCUAUGAGCCAAGGAGAGAGGCCUUAAAAGAAAUCAACCCUGCCAUCUUGAUCUUGGACUUCAGCCUCCAGAAUGAUGGGGACUCACUCUGUCACCCAGGCUGGAGUGCAGUGGCGCCAUCUUGGCUCACUGCAACCUCCACCACCUAGGCUCAAGCGAUCUUCCUAUUUCAGCCUCCCAAAUAGCAGGGACCACAAGCAUGUACCACCAUGCCCAGAAUGAAUGUGGGCAGGAAGGAUCCUGAAAUAUCUACUUAGCUGCAUUUCCAAUGCUAUGUCAUAAAUGGCAAUACAACUUCUGCCUUGUU